GGGAAUUUUGGGCAAUGGGCGAAAGCCUGACCCAGCAACGCCGCGUGAGGGAUGAAGUAUUUCGGUAUGUAAACCUCGAAAGAAUGGGAAGAAUAAAUGACGGUACCAUUUAUAAGCUCCGGCUAACUACGUGCCAGCAGCCGCGGUAAUACGUAGGGAGCAAGCGUUGUUCGGAUUUACUGGGCGUAAAGGGCGCGUAGGCGGCGCGGUAAGUCACUUGUGAAAUCUCUGAGCUUAACUCAGAACGGCCAAGUGAUACUGCUGUGCUAGAGUGCGGAAGAGGCAACCGGAAUUCUUGGUGUAGCGGUGAAAUGCGUAGAUAUCAAGAGGAACACCUGAGGCGAAGGCGGGUUGCUGGGCCGACACUGACGCUGAUGCGCGAAAGCCAGGGGAGCAAACG
This 400-nucleotide ribosomal RNA is filed under the name uncultured bacterium. RNAcentral's name for it is "bacterial SSU rRNA". It matches the Rfam family "Bacterial small subunit ribosomal RNA", at positions 357 to 774 of the family's 1533-position model. The record is from RNAcentral.